UGCCCUGUCGUCUAACGGUAGGACUACGGAUUCUGAUUCCGUCUAUCGAGGUUCGAAUCCUCGCGGGGCAUCCA
Molecule: transfer RNA, 74 nt
Filed under: Pseudomonadota bacterium
Lineage: Bacteria; Pseudomonadati; Pseudomonadota
Description: tRNA-Gln
Rfam family: tRNA
About the family: Transfer RNA (tRNA) molecules are approximately 80 nucleotides in length. Their secondary structure includes four short double-helical elements and three loops (D, anti-codon, and T loops).
Source: RNAcentral